This is an RNA transcript of Homo sapiens (human), 5136 nucleotides long. It is a transcript of the gene named zinc finger protein 487, with no coding region annotated. The record is from RefSeq and is marked validated. NCBI's taxonomy places the organism in Eukaryota, Metazoa, Chordata, Mammalia, Primates, Hominidae. The transcript is spliced from 9 exons.
CCGCCCCCGGACGCCCAGCCGCGGUCCCAGCGACCUUCGCUUUCGUGGGGAAGCCGGACUGCGCCGUGUCUUCCUGAAGAAGGCUGGGGGAUCAGUGUCCUUCAGUGAUGUGGCUGUGGGCUUCACCCAGGAGGAGUGGCAGCAUCUGGACUCUGCUCAGAGGACCCCGUACAGAGACAUGAUGCUGGAGAACUACAGCCUCCUCCUCUCAGUGGGAUAUUGCAUUACCAAACCAGAGGUGGUUUGCAAGUUGGAGCAUGGACAGGUGCUGUGGAUAUUAGAGGAAGAGUCCCCAAGUCAGAGCCACCUAGACUGCUGCAUAGAUGAUGACCUGAUGGAGAAGAGACAGGAAAAUCAAGACCAGCAUUUGCAGAAAGUUGAUUUUGUCAACAAUAAAACACUGACUAUGGACAGAAAUGGUGUAUUAGGAAAAACAUUUUCUCUUGACACAAACCCCAUUCUAUCAAGAAAAAUACGUGGCAACUGUGACUCAUCUGGAAUGAAUUUGAAUAAUAUUUCAGAAUUAAUUAUUAGUAAUAGAAGCUCCUUUGUAAGGAACCCUGCUGAGUGUAAUGUACGUGGGAAAUUUCUCCUCUGUAUGAAGCGUGAGAAUCCUUAUGCCAGAGGGAAACCUUUGGAAUAUGAUGGAAAUGGGAAAGCCGUCUCUCAGAAUGAGGACUUAUUUAGGCAUCAGUAUAUUCAAACUCUUAAGCAGUGUUUUGAAUACAAUCAGUGUGGGAAGGCUUUUCAUGAAGAGGCAGCCUGCAGUACCCAUAAGAGAGUGUGCUCAUGGGAGACCCUGUGAAUAUAAUGAACAUGUGAGAGCCUUUUCCGAUAGACCAAUAUUCAUUGUUCAUCAGAGAACUCACAUAAGGAAGAGUCACCAUGAAUUCAAUGAAUGUGAGAGGAGGUCUGGUGAGAGGCCACCUGUAAAUAAACACCACAGGGUUAUGGAGAUGAAAUACUAUGAGUGUAAUGCGAGUGAGAAUAGUUUUGGCAAGAAAUCACUCCUCAUUCUACAAAGUUACAGAGGAGAGAAAACUUGACUGUAGUAGACAUUUGGAAGUAUUCUGCAAGAAGCCAAAUUUCACUCAACAUCAAGAAACACAUAUAGGAAAGAAUGCCUAUAAAAUUAAUCAGUAUGCUAGUACAUUUUGCUGUAAGCCAAAGCAUUCUGUAUAUCAGAAAACAGAUACAGAAGAAAAACUCUAUGAAUGUAGUGAAUGUGGGAAAACCUUCAGCCAUAAAUCCUCUUUUAUCCUACAGCAGAGGAUACACAGAGGAGAGAAACCCUAUGAAUGCACUGAAUGUGGGAAAACUUUUGGAUAUAGGUCAUGCCUUGCAGUACAUCAAAGAACACACACGGGACAAAACCUAUGAAUGUAAUGAAUGUGGAAAAAACUUCUGUGAGAAGUCAAAUCUUCAUGUACAUCAGAGAACACACACAGGAGAGAAACCCUAUGGAUGUAAUGAAUGUCAGAAAGCCUUUGGUGAUAGGUCAGCUCUAAAAGUACAUCAGAGAAUACAUACUGGCGAGAAACCCUAUGAGUGUAAGGAAUGUGGGAAAACUUUCUCCCAGAAGCCAAACUUCAUUAAUCAUCAGUGAACUCACACAGGAGAGAGACCCUUUGAAUGCAAUGAAUGUCAAAAAUCCUUCUCUGUGAAGUCAAAACUUAGAGAACAUCAGAGAAUUCACACAGGGGAGAAACCCUAUGAAUGUAAUGAAUGUGAGAAAAUGUUCUACCACAAGUCAUCCCUCACAGUACAUCAGAGAACCCACACAGGAGAGAAACCCUAUGCAUGUAGUGAAUGUGGGAAAACCUUCUACCAGAAGUCAUCCCUCACAACACAUCAGAGAACACACACAAGGGAGCAACCCUAUGAAUAUAAUGAAAGCUUUUACCAGAAUCCCAACUUCACUAAAUGUCAGAGAGACAACAUAGAGGAAACCCUUGUCAACAUCCUGAAGGCUCAGAAACCUUCACCUUCUUGGACUCGUUCCAUAGCAGAAACAACCCAGGUUGGGCAUUACCUUUACUCUUCACAUUUUUCCAAGAUCAGUAGAAAAUGAACAGAUCCCAGGUACCUGUGUGGGUUCCCUCAGACCUGGCCCCAGUACUUUUGCCUUUCCUUGGGAGCCAUCUGAUUCACUGCUGGUUUCAGCAGCCACCAACAUGCCAGUGACUCCGCAGUCCUCAGCUUCAUUACGGGCUUCCCUUCUGAGCUCCAGAACCACUCAUCCAGCUCCCUCCUGAAGAUCCCUGCCUGCCCGUUCCACAGACACUUCGAGCACAACAUGUCCGAGACCCCUCUAGCCCUUACCUUUUGCCCAGCCUCUUUCUUUGCACUUCCCAGUCUUUGCAAAUGGCACCUGGAUUUACCUGGAGGCUCAUAAAGAAACUCUGGGAGAUAAUUUCCCCAUCUUUCUUUUGCACCAUGAAUUUGGGACCAAUAUCUCUUAAUGUCUUAUUUUGUAGGAUCAAUUCUUCUUUCCAGGAGUUAGCUAACGUCUUUUGUAAAGAGCCAGAUAGCGAAUAUUUUAUGCUUUGUGGACCAAGAAAUAAAAUCAAGGAUAUAUGUAGGACUUAUUGAGCAAGAGACAGAAGAAAUUUACACAAUUUUUGUUUUGUUUUGUUUUAUUUUGUUUGUUUGUUUUGAUAUGAGGUCUUUGGCCUCACUCUGUUGCCAGGCUGAAGUGCAAUGGUGUGAUCACGGCUCACUGCAGCCUAGACCUCCUAGGCUCAAGUGAUUCUUCCACGUCAGCCUCCUGAGUAGCUGGGACCACACAGCCACCACGCUGCCACAUCCCGCCAUGAGCUGCUAAUUUAAAAAAUUUCUGUGAAGAUGGGGUUUUGCCACAUUGCCCAGGCUACCGCCAGUUUUUGUUGAUGAAAUUCAAAAUAUAAUCAUGAUUGUGUUAUAGUGUUUUGCAAUACAGGUCUACUAAUGAGAAAAGUGGAAUUCUUUUGGGGUGGUUAACAUUUUGCUUAAUUGAGGUUCUUUGUUACUAUUCUAUGUCAUCAAAAUCUAUUGCAAAUCAUCAUCUGCUAAUGUUGAAUUGUAAUGAGCUUUCACAUAUUUCAUCUUUGAAAAUGUGUUUCACAUAGGUACUACCAGUUACUGAUAUCAGUCCACAAACAUGAUUUUAUUUUAUUAUUUUAUUUUAUUUUAUUUUAUUUUGAGAUGGAGUCUCGCUCUAUCGCCCAGGCUGGAGUGUAGUGGCAUGAUCUCGGCUCACUGCAAGCUCCACCUCCUGAGUUCACGCCAUUCUCCUGCCUCAGCCUCCCAAGUAGCUGGGACUACAAGCGCCCGCCACCACGCCCGGCUAAUUUUUUUGUAUUUUUUAGUAGAGACUGGGUUUCACCAUGUUAGCCAGAAUGAUUUCGAUUUCCUGACCUCGUGAUCCGCCGGCCUCGGCCUCCCAAAGUCAUGAUUUUAUUUUUUAAAAAUAAAUUUAAUGUGUAUUUUUGAGGCUUACAACAUGUUAUGGGAUAUGUAUAGAUAGUAAAGUGUUUAGUGAAGCAGAUUAAUGGAUCUGUCAUCUCACAUAGUUGCUUUUGUUGUGACAAGAGCAGCUACAGUUUACUUAAUAAAAAUCUCUAAUAGAAUUUUACUAAUUUUAGUCCUUAUGUUGUACAUUAGAACUCUAAAGGUGUUCAGGCCAGGCGUGGUGGCUCAUGCCUGUAAUCCCAGCACUUUUGGAGGCCGAGGCAGGUGGAUCACCUGAGGUCAGCAGUUUGAGACCAGCCUGACCAACAUGGAGAAACCCCGUCUCUACCAAAGAUACAAAAUUAGCUGGGUGUGGUGUCGCAUGCCUGUAAUCCCAGCUACUCAGGUGGCUGAGGCAGGAGAAUUCCUUGAACCUGGGAGGCGGAGGUUGCGGUGAGCUGAGAUUGCUCCAUUGCACUCCAGCCGAGGCAACAAGAGCGAAACUCCUUCUCAAAAACAAACAAACAAACAACAACAACAACAAAACUCUAGUGGUGUUCAUCCUACAUAUUUAAAAGUUUGUAUCCUUUGACCUACAUUUCCGCAUUUCCUUUACCACCCCUCCAACACCUGUGGAAACCACUGCUUUAUUCUCUGUCUUUGUAUUUGAACUCUUUCUAAAAAUAUGGCUAACAACCUGGCGUGAUGGCUCACACCUGUAAUCCCAGCACUUUGGGAAGCCGAAGAGGGUGGAUUGCCUGAGACUAGGAGUUCAGAUCAGCCUGGGCGACAUGGCGAAACCCUGUCUCUACAAACAGUAAAAAUAUCCAGGGAUCAGUGUCGCUCAAGGACGUGACUGUGGACUUCACCCAGGAGGAGUGGUAGCAUCUGGGCCCUAUUGAGAGGACCCUGUACAUGAAUGUAAUGCUGGAGAACUACAGCCUCCUCAUCUCAGUGGGGUAUUGCAUUAGCAAGCCAAAGGUGGUCUUCAAGUUGCAGCAAGGAGAGGAGGCAUGGAUAUUAGAGGAAGAGUCCUCAAGCCAAAGCCACUUUGAAUUCUGGAAAGUUGACCUGAUGGAGAAGAACCAGGAAAACCAAGACCAGCAUUUGAGGAAAGCUGGUUUUGUCAACAACAAAAUACUGAUGGAAGACAGAAAUAGUGUUUUAGGAGAAACAUUUAAUAUAAAUUCAAACCUUGUUCCAAUGAGAAAAAUACCUGAUAAAUAUGACUUAUGUAUAAUGAACGUGAAUUAUAUUUCAGAAUUAAUUGUUAGUAAUAGAAACUCCUUUGGAAGGAAGCUUGAUGAGCUCAGUGCACAUGCGAAAUUGCUCCUUCAUAUGACAUGAGCAUCCUUAUGCCAGAGAGAAACAUUUUGAGUGUGACAGAAAUGAGAAAGCCAUCUGUUAGAAUGAGGACUUAUUUCAGCAUCAGGAUAUUCAAACUCUGAAGCAAAUUUUUGAAUACCUUGAGUGUGGGAAAGCUUUUCAUGAGGAGGCAGCCUUCAGUACCCAUAAGAGAGUGUGCUUCUGGGAGAAACCUUGUGAAUAUAAUGAACAACUAAGAGCCUUUUCUGACAAUCCAAACCUCCUUGUUCAUCAGAGUACUCACAGAAGGGAAAAUCACUACGAGUUUAAUUGCUGUGGGAGGAGGUCUGUUGGUGAGAAAUCUCUAAAUAAACACCAUGGAGGAAUCAUGGGGAAAAAAUA